Molecule: long non-coding RNA, 376 nt
Filed under: Apteryx owenii (little spotted kiwi)
Lineage: Eukaryota; Metazoa; Chordata; Aves; Apterygiformes; Apterygidae
Description: lncRNA (ENSAOWG00000003966.1)
Source: RNAcentral
AAUCCUCGCAGUCCAGCCACAGGUGAAGGAGCCGGAGCCCCAGCGUGCCACGGAGAAACUCCUGGAAGAGGUCCAUGCCCGCCCUCUGCAGCACAGGUGGCAGGAAGACCCCCAAGAGGAGUCAUGCAAUGCCCAGCUGCAUCACACCAGACAGAUCCAAAGUAAUAGUUCUUGCUAAAUCACAGAAUCACAGAAUCACGGAAUGGUUGAAGUUGGAAGGGACCUCUGGAGAUCAUCUAGUCCAACCCCCCUGCUCAAGCAGGGUCACCUAGAGCACGUUGCACAGGAUCGCAUCCAGGCGGGUUUUGAAUAUCCCCAGAGAAGGAGACUCCACAAAGCCAAAGAAGGAUUAAGACCUGGCACAAGACUUAAAGGG